CUCCAACCCCUGUGACAUACCACUUGUUGCCUCGGCGGAUCAGCCCGCUCCCGGUAAAACGGGACGGCCCGCCAGAGGACCCCUAAACUCUGUUUCUAUAUGUAACUUCUGAGUAAAACCAUAAAUAAAUCAAAACUUUCAACAACGGAUCUCUUGGUUCUGGCAUCGAUGAAGAACGCAGCAAAAUGCGAUAAGUAAUGUGAAUUGCAGAAUUCAGUGAAUCAUCGAAUCUUUGAACGCACAUUGCGCCCGCCAGUAUUCUGGCGGGCAUGCCUGUUCGAGCGUCAUUUCAACCCUCAAGCCCUCGGGUUGGUGUUGGGGAUCGGCGAGCCCUUGCGGCAAGCCGGCCCCGAAAUCUAGUGGCGGUCUCGCUGCAGCCUCCAUUGCGUAGUAGUAAAACCCUCGCAACUGGAACGCGGCGCGGCCAAGCCGUUAAACCCCCAACUUCUGAAUGUUGACCUCGGAUCAGGUAGGAAUACCCGCUGAACUUAAGCAUAUCAAUAAGCGGAGGA
RNAcentral lists this ribosomal RNA (512 nucleotides) under Fusarium verticillioides. RNAcentral describes it as "eukaryotic LSU rRNA". The stretch from base 134 to 287 matches the Rfam family "5.8S ribosomal RNA". The record is from RNAcentral. Lineage: Eukaryota; Fungi; Ascomycota; Sordariomycetes; Hypocreales; Nectriaceae.